RNAcentral lists this ribosomal RNA (253 nucleotides) under uncultured bacterium. RNAcentral describes it as "partial 16S ribosomal RNA". It matches the Rfam family "Bacterial small subunit ribosomal RNA", at positions 524 to 776 of the family's 1533-position model. The record is from RNAcentral.
UACAGAGGGGGCAAGCGUUGUUCGGAAUUACUGGGCGUAAAGGGCGCGUAGGCGGCCUGUUAAGUCGAACGUGAAAUCCCCGGGCUCAACCCGGGAACUGCGUCCGAUACUGGCUGGCUUGAAUCCGGGAGAGGGAUGCGGAAUUCCAGGUGUAGCGGUGAAAUGCGUAGAUAUCUGGAGGAACACCGGUGGCGAAGGCGGCAUCCUGGACCGGUAUUGACGCUGAGGCGCGAAAGCCAGGGGAGCAAACGGG